GGUGGUGGAACCACUGAGCUAAAUCCUCAGCCCUGACUAUUUCUUAAUUGAGGCUUAUCACAUGUGAUUCAAGAAAAUAUCUUGUUAAGAGCUUCCACUUUUUAAAUUAAUAGCAUAAAAAAAAAUCAGUGGGUUUCUGUUUAGCUUCAUUGGAACUUUCUCUAAGUGGACGGAGAUCAGGGGGAACAACUUCCCCGAAUGCGACAGGUAUCGGGGCCCAGAGCCCUGAGCAGCGGCGGUUAUAACCCUCGUGGCUGAGAAGCUCAGGGCUUCAAGGGAGAGGAUUACUGCUUUGAAGGUGACUCUUAACACCGAGCUUCCAUCUUUACAGGCCUUAGAGGUGUCAAGGACUUGAUCUUCUCAUACCUGUACACGUCCAAUUCAACCACCACCGAAUUAACACAGAUCCCCUGUCUACAGAGGGGGAAACAGACCAGAGCAGGAUUAAAGAUGUUUGCCAGAGUGAUGAAGGGAUUUUCGCAGGCUCUCUUAGCCUGGGUUCUCUUGAAGGCGAGGCUGAGCCAGUUUACUUUGCAGCAUCCUUGGUAGGGAGUUUCCUCGGAUCAAACACUCUGAGAAGGAAGCAGGGAGAGACGCGGGGGCGGAGCAUCUCCCCGGUACGGUACCUGCUGCAGGUGUGCUUGGCUUCCUGUCGCCAGCAGGCAGCUGGCAGCUGUGCAAGAAGCAGUCUGGAGGGGUGGCUGAGAGCAGCCGGCCCACAGCAGGCCGCAGCUCAGGAAGUCGUGUGCCAGGCGGAGGAGUGGGCAGCCCGCCUCUCACCAGGGAAACGCAGACGGUCCGAGACAGCGCCGCCAGAGCCCCAACCGCGGGACCACACAGGCUAGCGGCGACGCCAGCAGGCGAGGACGCGGAGGGACGGGACGUUGCACGCUUCUGGUGGUGGGAGUGUAAAUUAGCAGACACAUGGAGGAGUAAUAACAGGACUGCUGCAGGGCUCGGGAAAUCCGGAGCCAAGACUGGUCUCAGAGACGCUAGCCCUCGCGGUUUCAAGAAUUGCUCAAAGCAGCCGGGUGCUGAUGGAAGCGACCUGGGUGGGAACGGAAUCAGCUGAAGAAUGGAAGUGCGACACACACACAGCUGAGCACUGUACGGCCAGAAAAAUCAUAAAACCCUGUUAUGUCUGGCAACAUAAAGGGGGCUGGAAAUAUUGUGUUGACCGAAAUGAGGCGGCACAGAAAGGCAGUGCCAAAUGACUUCACUCACACACGGGGUCUGACCUCGUAGAAGUUGGGAACAGGAUAGUGGGUACCAGGCUGCAGGGGCAGGUGAGGGGCAACGCUCAUGGAGCGGUGAAUCAGGGCUGGAGGCCCGGGAAGUGUGGCAGGACAGCCAUGGACAACAAUGGCAAAGGUAUUUCAAACAGAUGAGAGACAGAGUGUUUCUGAAGUUUUCAACAUAAAGAAAUGAUAAAUGCAUAGCCUGAUUUAAAUAUAGCACACGUGUACAUGUGCCAAAAUAUAACACAGUUGUCCAAUAUUACAUACAAUUUUAUCAAUUACACUUGUUAAAAAAUAAAGAGACAGCAGUGUUACUUGUUGUCCAUUGCGGUGGCUUAUGUAGUCUUUAAGGGAACUAUGCUGCUUCAUUGAGUGCUUUCAGGUGAUGAGAAAGACAUCAACAAGGCAAAGCAAGCAUUUAGCAAGGAAUGCUGACAGGUGACAAAUCAAUGAAAUUUAUUCUAUUGAAAUUGCUUGGCAUUUUUGAAGACUAUUAUUUGAUGUGGGGAACUGAUUUUAGAAUUAAUUUAUCUCUUCUAUAUAAUACCUAGAAAUGAAUAUAACAUGUAAGCCAAGCCGAGUAGUAGGGAUGCCUAGGCAAAUUUAGAAUAGUUGUAGGUUAAAAACAUGAGAUUGUGUGUUUGUCUUGACUUUCAGGAAAGAAUUUUAAUUCUAGUUUUUAUCUAAUGAUCACUCAAGAUUUAUGGUUCCGUGAGUCUUCUGGAAGACCACCAAAGCUAUUGUGCAGUUCUGCUUCCCAAAGGACAUUGGAAAGUUUAGAGCUAUCAUCAGCUAUAUUACUUGGUUCAGUGAGAUGGAGACCAUUAACCACAUGAUUUUAGAACUAGAAUUUAGAAUUGAAGAGCAUGAAAUAAUGCAGAAAGGUAGUCUGCAAGACAAACCUGCCAAUAAGUUUUGUUUGUCCCACUUCUGUUCCUAUGCACUAUGAAUUAGUUGCUGUAAGUUCAAUUGGAAGCUAUUUUCUACCCCUUCCUGGGGAGGAAUCAUGUUUCUCAACCCCAUAGGCAUUAAUCUAGGUCAGGUGAUUGUUCAGCAUCUGAACUGUUAUGGACUUGUUUUGGCGUAAGAACCACCGAAUGCUUUGCCAGGUUUUUCCCCUCUCAGCAGCAGCUAACUCAGGCUGGAAUCACAGUAUCAUGGAGCAGAUGAAAACCAGGACCACGACCAACUUGGGGUGUUCAUCUAGAGUGAACCGGAAAAGACAGUGUGCUUAAAAUAAUCGGUAUCUUCAUACUGCUAGCACAGCAUAUUGUUACUAUAGCAUAAGCUCAUUUAUUCUUACAGACUUGCCACAUUUAUAACAUAAAACUAUAAUCUCUACCCAGUCAGAAUGUCUGACAGUAUCAGUCAGUGCUUGCUCCAGUUGUCAAGGUACCCACACAGCUUCCUGCUCAGUGCCUGCCCUGUAGAAAAUCACGCUCACAGCUCUGCUCCAAGGCUUCCCCUGUCAAUCCAAACAUGGUGCUACCAGGUGGAUUCAGUGCGUGAGUAUACACAGCUGCACACAAAUGUGUACACUUACAGGCAUCGGGGUACUACUUGAAACUCUUGAAGCUUUUCCAUUAAUUUUAGAAAUACAAUAAGUACUCUCCUCAGUUACUGUGUAUCCAUUUGCUAGAAAUGUAAAGCAGUUCAAAGACACAUAUAACUGAUGUGAGUACUACAAAGGAAUACACAAAAUUCUUUUUUUUUGAUACCGGGGAUCUAACUCGGGUCCUUACA
Molecule: non-coding RNA, 2981 nt
Organism: Heterocephalus glaber (naked mole-rat)
Lineage: Eukaryota; Metazoa; Chordata; Mammalia; Rodentia; Bathyergidae
Source: RefSeq, a predicted model, not a curated record